This 701-nucleotide ribosomal RNA is filed under the name Pseudomonadota bacterium. RNAcentral's name for it is "bacterial SSU rRNA". It matches the Rfam family "Bacterial small subunit ribosomal RNA", at positions 40 to 725 of the family's 1533-position model. Lineage: Bacteria; Pseudomonadati; Pseudomonadota. The record is from RNAcentral.
CGGGCAUGCCUUUACCACAUUGCAAAGUCGAACCGGCAGCACCGGGAGCAAUCCCGGGUGGCGAGUGGCGAACGGGGUGAGUAAUAUAUCGGAACGUGCCCAGUCGUGGGGGAUAACGCAGCGAAAGCUGUGCUAAUACCGCAUACGAUCUAUGGAUGAAAGCGGGGGACCCGUAAGGGCCUCGCGCGAUUGGAGCGGCCGAUAUCAGAUUAGGUAGUUGGUGUGGUAAAAGCGCACCAAGCCGACGAUCUGUAGCUGGUCUGAGAGGACGACCAGCCACACUGGAACUGAGACACGGUCCAGACUCCUACGGGAGGCAGCAGUGGGGAAUUUUGGACAAUGGGCGCAAGCCUGAUCCAGCAAUGCCGCGUGCAGGAUGAAGGCCUUCGGGUUGUAAACUGCUUUUGUACGGAGCGAAACGGUCUGCUUUAAUACAGUGGGCUAAUGACGGUACCGUAAGAAUAAGCACCGGCUAACUACGUGCCAGCAGCCGCGGUAAUACGUAGGGUGCGAGCGUUAAUCGGAAUUACUGGGCGUAAAGCGUGCGCAGGCGGUUAUAUAAGACAGAUGUGAAAUCCCCGGGCUCAACCUGGGACCUGCAUUUGUGACUGUAUAGCUAGAGUACGGUAGAGGGGGAUGGAAUUCCGCGUGUAGCAGUGAAAUGCGUAGAUAUGCGGAGGAACACCGAUGGCGAAGGCAAU